RNAcentral lists this non-coding RNA (28 nucleotides) under Mus musculus (house mouse). The record is from RNAcentral. Lineage: Eukaryota; Metazoa; Chordata; Mammalia; Rodentia; Muridae.
UCUGAAGUCAGGCCAUGCUUGUCAGCUU